CAUGUAGGCGGUUCGUCAAGUCUGAUGUGAAAGCCCGGGGCUCAACCCCGGAAGUGCAUUGGAAACUGGCGAACUUGAGUACGGGAGAGGAAAGUGGAAUUUCGAGUGUAGGGGUGAAAUCCGUAGAUAUUCGAAGGAACACCAGUGGCGAAGGCGGCUUUCUGGACCGAUACUGACGCUGAGAUGCGAAAGCGUGGGGAGCAAACAGGAUUAGAUACCCUGGUAGUC
Molecule: ribosomal RNA, 228 nt
Filed under: uncultured bacterium
Lineage: Bacteria
Description: partial 16S ribosomal RNA
Rfam family: Bacterial small subunit ribosomal RNA
Source: RNAcentral